This is a long non-coding RNA of Populus nigra (black poplar), 689 nucleotides long. RefSeq lists it as uncharacterized. Lineage: Eukaryota; Viridiplantae; Streptophyta; Magnoliopsida; Malpighiales; Salicaceae. The record is from RefSeq and is a predicted model, not a curated record. The transcript is spliced from 2 exons.
GUUGAGCUACGGUGGGCAAUUACCAUGGCAAACAAGAGGAAUAUCCCGCUGGCAACACCAUGCACGGUGUCAGCAACUGUAUUUUCAAUGCUCCAACAAUUUGCUCGCAUAAAAAACCUGCCGACACCAGCCAAAUUGUUAGAUUGUUUACCACAUCCUGGGAAUUUCUUCAAAGCAUGUAGCUGACCUUCGAACAAUCUUCCGUGGACAUGAGGCAAGAUGCAGCUCAAGUUGGAAAGCAUUUCAUGGGUGUCAAGAGCACAGUUUCUUCUAAUCAACUCUGUCUAUGGGCUUGAAUCCCAAGUUUUCGACACACUAAAAGAAAAAUUAGAUUUACCAAUCUAUUCUGUUGGUCCUGCCAUACCUUGUUUGAACUUAAGGACAACUAUCCCGUCACUACAGGUUCUGAUAUCACCUACUAUUUCCAAUGGCUAGAUUCCCAACCUACACACUCUGUUUUGUAUUGUUAUUAGGAUGUUUCCUUUCAAUUUCCAGCAAGCAAAUGGAUGAAAUUGUGCUGGGUUGAGAAAUAGUGGUGUUUGAUAUUUGUGGGUAGCUCGUAGAGAAGCUUACGGCUAAAAGGUGUCGGUGGAGAGGUUAUUGGUGGUAGUUUUGAAACACUCAGAGAUAAAACAUAUUGUUUUAUUUUAUAGGCAAAAAGCUUAUAUAUAUUGUUAAGCUCUCAAUCA